AUCCAGUUGACGAGUCCCAAAUAGGACGAAACACAUUCAACUGGAU
This 46-nucleotide non-coding RNA is filed under the name Schistosoma mansoni. Lineage: Eukaryota; Metazoa; Platyhelminthes; Trematoda; Strigeidida; Schistosomatidae. The record is from RNAcentral.